RNAcentral lists this ribosomal RNA (497 nucleotides) under uncultured bacterium. Its description in RNAcentral is "partial 16S ribosomal RNA". It matches the Rfam family "Bacterial small subunit ribosomal RNA", at positions 28 to 507 of the family's 1533-position model. The record is from RNAcentral.
GAUGAACGCUGGCGGCGUGCCUAAUACAUGCAAGUCGAGCGAACAGGCGAGGAGCUUGCUCCUCUGACGUUAGCGGCGGACGGGUGUGUAACACGUGGAUAACCUACCUAUAAGACUGGGAUAACUUCGGGAAACCGGAGCUAAUACCGGAUAAUAUAUUGAACCGCAUGGUUCAAUAGUGAAAGACGGUUUUGCUGUCACUUAUAGAUGGAUCCGCGCCGCAUUAGCUAGUUGGUAAGGUAACAGCUUACCAAGGCAACGAUGCGUAGCCGACCUGAGAGGGUGAUCGGCCACACUGGAACUGAGACACGGUCCAGACUCCUACGGGAGGCAGCAGUAGGGAAUCUUCCGCAAUGGGCGAAAGCCUGACGGAGCAACGCCGCGUGAGUGAUGAAGGUCUUCGGAUCGUAAAACUCUGUUAUUAGGGAAGAACAAAUGUGUAAGUAACUAUGCACGUCUUGACGGUACCUAAUCAGAAAGCCACGGCUAACUACGUG